Molecule: long non-coding RNA, 1389 nt
Filed under: Chinchilla lanigera (long-tailed chinchilla)
Lineage: Eukaryota; Metazoa; Chordata; Mammalia; Rodentia; Chinchillidae
Description: lncRNA (ENSCLAG00000023199.1)
Source: RNAcentral
GCCCAGUUUGUGCUCCCCUCUUGCACAGGCUCAGGAUGUUUAUAAAGGAAAGCCCCUGGGGGAAAAAAAAAAAUUCGAAGUAAGGACCCUGGCCCCCUACUGAAUCACUUAUUUAAACUUCUAAACUUCGCAAAUUGACACAGUAAGCAACAUCCCAGAGGUAAGGGCAGGUCCUCUACGCCCCAGGAUGUAGAACUGCUGAGUUACUUAGUUAAGCUUCUAGACUUCAGGUGGACACAACGUAUCAACCAAUACAGCCUGGGGGCGUUGGGGGAGUGGUGGCAGGAAGGCGCUCAGGGGGCUCCAGGGGAAUCUGGAGAUUCAGUAUUUUGGCACCCGUCAACCAGUAUGUCCUCAGCCCGCCUCAGGAUUUCACUCCUUGCAAACAGAAUCCCACUUUGGUAGAGCAGGCCUGCUACAGCCAAAAACUCAACUGGCUCUGAAACUCUUGUUCACCUUAGAAAAACCUAGAAGUCAGUUUUUUUCUCCCCAGUCAGCAGAAAGUGAAUCCUUUUCUGUGCUACAAUAGAGGCCUCUGGCUUUCACACUUCCCCUAAGCGCUUAAUUGACUGACUCAGCCUUCCUUGUCCUUUGCCAAUAGAUCGCUAAGACCACGCAAGAGCCGUUUGAUUCCACAGCCCUGACAGUAAUUACUACUUUCACUAACCUGUGCAGACUUCCGAGACAUCACGCCCCCAGUCCAUUCUCUCCCCUCUCUCCGAUGAUGAAGAUCUGAACAGCUCCACUUGCACUGCCUGUGUCGUCCUUACCAAUGAUCUGCUCCCAUGCCCUGUGCGGCAGGUGGCCCAGCUCCAGAAUAUCAUCCCAGAGUUUGCUUCCAGGCCAACUGCCUGAGGGUGGCUUUCCUGGGAGACAGAGUCUGAAACGGAACUUCAAACCCCGUGUUUUUCAGAGUGCUCCAGCUCGGGUUCAGGUUCCACGCUGCAGAAGCCCAAGCCAUGGCGUCCACUGUACCAGGCACCACAGGAACUCUUUGGUGACUCACCCUCUGGCAGUGGCAUCAGCGAAUUGCUUGUUCGCCCUUCAGUAAAUACCUACUGAGCACCCCAUUUGUUCUCGGCAUCACGCUGGGACCUGGGCUUUCUCACUGCGCUGCCACCUUCCUCCCAGGCGUGCUCCGCCCCGUGUGGGCUAUGAGAAACAGGACACAAGCGCGAGGAAGCCGGCAUAUAAACACAUCAGAUUCGAGUUUCCUUUGCGUUGUGAGACAGAGUCUAAAAUAAAGGGCCAUCUAAAGUUAAGGAGAGCUAGGUAUGGCGGUGCAGGCCUGUAAUCCCAGCACUUGGGAGGCCGAGGCAGGAGGAUCCUUGUGAGUUCGAGACCAGCCUGGGCUACAUAAUUAGUUCAAGGACAGAAACUAGAGGUGAG